RNAcentral lists this ribosomal RNA (557 nucleotides) under Saccharomyces cerevisiae (brewer's yeast). RNAcentral describes it as "partial large subunit ribosomal RNA". It matches the Rfam family "Eukaryotic large subunit ribosomal RNA", at positions 52 to 612 of the family's 3401-position model. The record is from RNAcentral. Lineage: Eukaryota; Fungi; Ascomycota; Saccharomycetes; Saccharomycetales; Saccharomycetaceae.
GGAGGAAAAGAAACCAACCGGGAUUGCCUUAGUAACGGCGAGUGAAGCGGCAAAAGCUCAAAUUUGAAAUCUGGUACCUUCGGUGCCCGAGUUGUAAUUUGGAGAGGGCAACUUUGGGGCCGUUCCUUGUCUAUGUUCCUUGGAACAGGACGUCAUAGAGGGUGAGAAUCCCGUGUGGCGAGGAGUGCGGUUCUUUGUAAAGUGCCUUCGAAGAGUCGAGUUGUUUGGGAAUGCAGCUCUAAGUGGGUGGUAAAUUCCAUCUAAAGCUAAAUAUUGGCGAGAGACCGAUAGCGAACAAGUACAGUGAUGGAAAGAUGAAAAGAACUUUGAAAAGAGAGUGAAAAAGUACGUGAAAUUGUUGAAAGGGAAGGGCAUUUGAUCAGACAUGGUGUUUUGUGCCCUCUGCUCCUUGUGGGUAGGGGAAUCUCGCAUUUCACUGGGCCAGCAUCAGUUUUGGUGGCAGGAUAAAUCCAUAGGAAUGUAGCUUGCCUCGGUAAGUAUUAUAGCCUGUGGGAAUACUGCCAGCUGGGACUGAGGACUGCGACGUAAGUCAAGGA